This 639-nucleotide long non-coding RNA is filed under the name Citrus maxima (pomelo). RNAcentral describes it as "long non-coding RNA (CMAX_LNC001032)". Lineage: Eukaryota; Viridiplantae; Streptophyta; Magnoliopsida; Sapindales; Rutaceae. The record is from RNAcentral.
UUAAAACUACCUUUGAAUAAUUGGUUCAAUUUUCUAAUCAUAUAGGGGAUAUGCUCUCAUCCACCUAGACAGAUUUAUAAAACAAAACCGUUUUACAAGCCUCGAUACCCUUUGGUUUUUAUUUAUAAGUUUAUCACGACUCCGAAUGGAUGAAUAUGGAAAUCUCCAUAUGUGCUUGAUCUCAGUUACCUCCCCGUGCAACUAAUACGAUGGGUAUCCCGUUUAGUUUUAAGGUGUUUUUUUUGGAUUCACAACUAUAAGUCGAAGGUUCAGAUUAGAUUCAUUAAAUUUGGCCCAAUUAAGACACAGAGUAAAAUAUAAUUAGAUUUAGCCGCGAGGUAAAAGGUGAACUAAUUAUAUGGAGGUGGUAAAAUGGAUGGAGCAUCUGGGCAUCUACGAGGCUGCUAAACCAGGAUAAUUUAAUUAUUCAGCUCUACAAAUUCUCUGGCAGUUCUGUUGCUUAAUUAGUCUACUUUUUUUGUCUGAUUCAUUUAGCUCAAGCAUGUACCAUAUUGUAAAUGCAGAUUUCUUUUCCAAAUUUAGCUGUAUCUUGUUAUGUAGUCUAUAUAUUCAAUAAGUCAAGAUUUGAUUCAUUUGAACGUUGAACGCAGUAUCUUACCUAACGCAGAAUUAAAUCCC